This 22-nucleotide unclassified non-coding RNA is filed under the name Chlamydomonas reinhardtii. Its description in RNAcentral is "small RNA Cre_2842". Lineage: Eukaryota; Viridiplantae; Chlorophyta; Chlorophyceae; Chlamydomonadales; Chlamydomonadaceae. The record is from RNAcentral.
UGAAGAAGGCGAGCGACUUGUC